CGGCUCUCAGUGCGUGCAGCUUGUGCGCGCGGUGAACGGAAGUUGCUACAGUUCAGAAGUUCUGAAGUUUGUCAGUUCUGGGAGUAACCGGGCUGGUUCUGGUGUGACCCGGUCCGGUGUGUCGGAACCAUGUCUGGGGGAGCCCUGCGGGAUUACUUUCUCUUCCAGCUGCCCCCCUCGGUCCAAUGGGAGUUCUGCCGGGUCAUGGAUGGACUGCUGGACCUGGACUGGACCCGCUUCGCCUCAGAGGUCCUCAAGGACCAGACCGCGGUCCGAUUGGCUGACCGGAGGGAGAGGCGGACCGACUGGGUGAUGAACCAAUGGGAGAGCAGGAACGGUCGGGUUGGCGAGCUGAUCGACCUGCUGGAGUCUCUGCAGCUCUUCCGGCCGCGUGAUGUCAUCCUCACCUGGACACGGAGUGACGCUCUUCCUCCUCUUCCUCCUCCUCCUCCUCCUCCUCCAUAUGAGCCGCCGGCUCAGCCGACAGUUGAUUGUUCGGCCAAAAAAGAAGAAAGACCUCUACCUGGACCGGCCCCGCCCCCUGGCGAGCUGUACUCUGAGCACCAGCAGGCCCAGGAAACAGGCUGCGCCUCUCCUGAUGCUGCUGCCGCUCAUGAUGUAGCUCCUCCAUCUUUCACCGGCGUCAUCUGCUGGACGUAUGAAGAGGUGCAUGAUGGGACGCAAGGGUUCUCCCCCAGCCUGCAGGUGGGAGAGGGAGGCUUCGGGGUCGUCUACCGGGCGUCUCUCAGGAACAUGGACUGUGCCGUCAAGAGACUCCGACAGGACUGCCACAUGGACUGGACUCUGAGGGGAAGCUUCCAGGCUGAGGUGGAGUACCUGUCCAGGUUCAGGCAUCGGAACAUCGUGGACCUGCUGGGUUUCAGCGAAGGAGAAGGCGGCGCCAUGUGUCUGAUCUACAGCUACAUGGAGAACCGCUCGCUGGAGGACCAGCUGCAGGAAGCGUGUGUGGUUCUGUCCUGGGCUCUCCGGGUCAGUAUAGUGGAAGGAGCAGCAGCAGCUCUUCAGUUUCUGCACCACCCCCCGGUGGGUCAGGAACAGCUGAUCCAUGGAGACGUGAAGAGUUCUAACAUCCUGUUGGACCAGCACUGGGUACCAAAACUUUCGGACUUCGGUCUGGCUCGGUGCGUGCCGCGCGGCCCGGCCGGCUGUUCCACGCAGACCCAGUCCGUCGGCAGAACCACGACCGUGAGAGGAACGCUGGCGUAUCUGCCUGAGGAAUACGUGAGGAGAGGCGAGCUGAGCACGGGGCUGGACGUCUACAGCUUCGGCGUGGUGCUGCUGGAGGUUCUGACGGGGCGGCGAGCUCUGGAACAGGACGGGAAGUCUGGAGACAGAUACCUGAAGGACCUUGUGGAGGACGAUGACCCGAACAGCGCCGGCCCAGAAGCGUGGAGGAGACACCUGGACCAACGGCUGACUGCUGGCGGCGCCGCUGAGCCUGACGGUUACCUGCGGGUGGCAGCGCUGGCCCGAAAGAGUCUCAGCAGGCAGAGGAAGAAGAGACCCGCCAUGACUGAGGUGUUCCACCAACUGAGGGAGCUGCGCAGCUCGAUGAGGAGGAGCUCGUCCUCGCCCCGGCUCCCCCCGCCCCCCCCCCAGUCCUUCCCCAGACCCCCCCGCUCCCUGGACUCCUGCGUCACCGCCGUCUCCCACCAGCUGUCCGAGCUGGCGCCGUCACAACAGAACCUGCCUCCCUCCUCCUCCUCCUCCUCCUCCUCCUCUUCGUCGUUCGGGGCCUUCACCCCUCCUCGCCCGCUCCACUCCUCCUCCCUCGGCCCCCCCUCCCUCUGCCCCCCCUCCCUGUCCCUCGCCGGCCCGUGUGAAACCGACGAAAGCCGCGGCUUCUCUCAGUACGAGCUGCGCUCCCAGUUCCGGUCCGACGGGUCCGGCUGCGGUUCUGACCAUCAGAACCGAGCCGUUGCUGCGGCGUCCCGCCUCAGCCAGCCGUCCGUUCCCACGGAGGACCAGUACAACUACCCCCCCCAGCCCGGCGGGCCCGGGCCCGGCGAGGCGGCCCGGUUCUCCCCGGCCGGGUCCCUGCAGUCCACCUCGGCCGGACUCUCAGUUCUGGUGAAUCCCAGCAAACAGCGGCUGUUGGAGAAGAAGAGUCAGUACGACGAGGGUCGGAUCAGAACCCCAGAACUGCUGUCGUUAGUGGACCUGUGUACGUAACCCUCACUCACGCUGUGCAAUGUGUGUAAAGUCUGUAUCCCACAGCCAACCAUGCGUUUCCCCGGAAACGGCAGAUCGCUUCUGACCGCUCGGCCGCUCGGCCGCUCGUUUGCAUCGUCUGUUAUAAGGAAGCUAAAGUGGGAAUAAAUCGUCUUUUAACUCCAACAACAGCAUCUGGACUCUUAACGUUUGCCUGAGCUCGGUUCUGAUCUUAGCCCGACCCUAAACACGCAGUUCUGCUGUGUCAGAACCAGACCUUGGUCCCUGGUCUUCAGAGGUUCUGUUUCGGGGGUCGGACCGUUGGGGUGGGUCGGCUGGCGGAGGACCAUCCAGACUCUUCCUGUGUCGGACCACGAUGGUGGAAGAACCUCCUGAGCGCUACCAGAAACCGGGCCUGGUAUCCCUCUUUGCCUGCGCUCAGGUUCUGCACCAUGAGCUCAGACAGAACCCGACUGGUGGUCUUAGUAGCUUAUCGCUAUCUUGGAUAUUAGCCGGAUUAAUAUGUCCUGAUGUCCAUGAUGCUUUAAAAACAGCAACAACACGCAGACCCCCCCCCCCCCCCCC
RNA transcript from Fundulus heteroclitus (mummichog), 2757 nucleotides. It is a transcript of the gene named interleukin-1 receptor-associated kinase 1, with no coding region annotated. The record is from RefSeq and is a predicted model, not a curated record. NCBI's taxonomy places the organism in Eukaryota, Metazoa, Chordata, Actinopteri, Cyprinodontiformes, Fundulidae. The transcript is spliced from 15 exons.